UACGUAGGUGGCAAGCGUUGUUCGGAAUUAUUGGGCGUAAAGGGCGCGUAGGCGGCCUGUUAAGUCGGCUGUGAAAGCCCGGGGCUCAACCCCGGAAAGUCGGCCGAUACUGGCAAGCUAGAGUACGGAAGAGGUAGCUGGAAUUCCCGGUGUAGCGGUGAAAUGCGUAGAGAUCUGGAGGAACACCGAUGGCGAAGGCAGCCUUCUGGGCCAACACUGACGCUCAUGCACGAAAGCGUGGGGAGCAAACAGG
Molecule: ribosomal RNA, 253 nt
Filed under: uncultured prokaryote
Description: partial 16S ribosomal RNA
Rfam family: Bacterial small subunit ribosomal RNA
Source: RNAcentral